CGACGUCACGGUCCCCCAGCAACCGGCGCCUCGCGGCCGCCCCCGACAAGGCCCAGGACUCGGGAGAGGCCGGACGAGCGGCCUGAGGCGGGGUCAGGCCCGAGGCCUCGCUUACUCUCCUGCCUCUCCCUCCCUCGGAGAAGAGUCCAGCCUUUUAAGUGGGCUCUUGCGGACAGAACUGUUCUCUCCUGACCCUCCUCUAUGAAUCAUUCUCCUCAGCUGACGGGAGCGACCCGGCUCUUCCCCGCCCCUCUCAGAGCCGGCAGCUACGUGGACUACAAUUCCCUGCGUUCGCGGGGGUCCUGCCUCUCUCCCAUCUAAUUCACUGGAGUGCCGAAUGGCAUGCCGGGAUUAGUAGUCAUCCAGCGGGAAAGACUUCCCGCCAAAGGCAUGCCGGGAGCUGUGGUCCAGCUAGGGCCGGAAACGGGAGUCCCGCGGCGGCCGGAGGCCAGCGGCCAGGAGACCGUUAGGGGGAGGGUGUAAGCGGCGGCCCUGCCUCCUUUGUGCUCCGGUCGGAGCUGACGGUCCUGCUCUCCCCUGGCUGGUCAGGCAGGUUGACAGUCGCGGAAACUGGCACCCUUGGUGGGAACUGCCGGGCACUGUUUUAAUUCCCUCUUUUUCUCAUUUAGCGGUUUCGGUCUCUUUGAAAUUCUUUCCUUCCUCCCCUUGUUUGCGGUCAUGUUAUGUAUUCAGCUGCAGUAAUGUGGGAAAUUACAGGCAAUUAUCUGGAUAAAAAAAAAUUUUUUUUUUUCCUGCCUUAGCAGUAGUCGCUGCCACGUCUCGCGUGCCGCGGGGGCUCCGGACUCCGUGGCAGGUGGUCGCCUGCAGCUCACCGGAUCCUCCCGACGCGGAGAUUUUUGUGGGACCCAAGGAGCCCGGAUAGUCCUGGAAGAGGUUAACAGAUUAAGUGGCCAAGAUUCGGCAAUUUGGAGACCGAAGGUGAACUCCGAGUCUACACUCUUUGCUCUCCCAAGCUAAGCGUUAGUGGGUGAAUUUUCCAAGUAAUUGCCAGUUCCAUUCCAAGCAGCCUUUACCAAAACCCGUCCCGGAUGCCUCUUGUGCCCAUGGCUACCUCUUGAGCUGAAGAGGAACUUAGAGGGGACAGAAGUUCACUCAUCUCCCAACUGUUGUAUUUCUUGUGUGUGUGUGUGUGUGUGUGUGUGUGUGUGAGAUUCUGUGCUAGCUCUAGGAGUCUGGAGAUAAAAAGAAUUAUGGAA
Long non-coding RNA from Canis lupus familiaris (dog), 1217 nucleotides. RefSeq lists it as uncharacterized. The record is from RefSeq and is a predicted model, not a curated record. The transcript has 2 exons. Lineage: Eukaryota; Metazoa; Chordata; Mammalia; Carnivora; Canidae.